RNAcentral lists this ribosomal RNA (358 nucleotides) under uncultured bacterium. RNAcentral's name for it is "bacterial SSU rRNA". It matches the Rfam family "Bacterial small subunit ribosomal RNA", at positions 8 to 350 of the family's 1533-position model. The record is from RNAcentral.
AGAGUUUGAUCCUGGCUCAGGAUGAACGCUAGCUACAGGCUUAACACAUGCAAGUCGAGGGGAAACGACAUCGAAAGCUUGCUUUUGAUGGGCGUCGACCGGCGCACGGGUGAGUAACGCGUAUCCAACCUGCCCACCACUUGGGGAUAACCUUGCGAAAGUAAGACUAAUACCCAAUGAUAUCUCUAGAAGACAUCUGAAAGAAGAUUAAAGAUUUAUCGGUGAUGGAUGGGGAUGCGUCUGAUUAGCUUGGUUGGCGGGGUAACGGCCCACCAAGGCUACGAUCGAGUAGGGGUUCUGAGAGGAAGGUCCCCCANAUUGGAACUGAGACACGGUCCAAACGUCCGUACGGGAGGCA